Molecule: ribosomal RNA, 254 nt
Filed under: uncultured bacterium
Lineage: Bacteria
Description: partial 16S ribosomal RNA
Rfam family: Bacterial small subunit ribosomal RNA
Source: RNAcentral
CACGUAGGGGGCGAGCGUUGUCCGGAUUUAUUGGGCGUAAAGAGCUCGUAGGCGGCUCAGUAAGUCAGGUGUGAAACCUCCAGGCUCAACCUGGAGACGCCACCUGAUACUGCUGUGGCUUGAGUCCGGUAGGGGAGUGUGGAAUUCCUGGUGUAGCGGUGAAAUGCGCAGAUAUCAGGAGGAACACCAGCGGCGAAGGCGGCGCUCUGGGCCGGUACUGACGCUGAGGAGCGAAAGCGUGGGUAGCAAACAGG